UUGCUUUCAUGUGUACUUCGAC
This 22-nucleotide non-coding RNA is filed under the name Arabidopsis thaliana (thale cress). Lineage: Eukaryota; Viridiplantae; Streptophyta; Magnoliopsida; Brassicales; Brassicaceae. The record is from RNAcentral.